Long non-coding RNA from Mastomys coucha (southern multimammate mouse), 2052 nucleotides. RefSeq lists it as uncharacterized. The transcript has 3 exons. The record is from RefSeq and is a predicted model, not a curated record. Lineage: Eukaryota; Metazoa; Chordata; Mammalia; Rodentia; Muridae.
UACAGUGCAAGGCCUGUGUGCAUAAGGGAAGCUGAAGACUCCCUUGUAAACUAAACCUCCAGUCCAGACCCUGGAUGUCAAUCACAGUCAACAGAGUGUGAUGCAGAAGGUGGUGUGUCCACUCUACCUCAGCUCUCAAGACAUUCAGAUCCUUCCUCUUUUGGAACACCAAGUAUUGAACCCCUGAAGUGUCAUAUGAAAAGCUUGAAGACCUUGAAGAGAUUAAGGAGAGAGACUCUGAGAGCAUGUGGAGAGGAUAGAGGCAUAGUGGAGCCAUUACCACCAUGAAUGACAUGGUCAUUGUUCCUCUCAGGGGGAGCAGCUACCCACUGAACUCAACUGAUGUCCCUCAGAUAAAGCCAGAUGGGCAGAAGAAUUAACCAGCUCUGCCCUAUCUCUGAUCAUGACCCAAGGGAUUGCUCGUUCUUUGAGUCAUCAGGACAGGUUACAGGUGGACAUUCCCAGAAUUAAUUCACAAUUAGUUUUCUCUCCACUUAAAGAUCCAGUAAAGUCCCAGAAUUGGCUUGUUUCUAUUUUAUGUGGGGAGCAAGUGAGGCAAAACUUCAACCAGCUGACCCUUUAUCUGGAGCAUAAACUUGCAUUUUCCUGCCAUAAAAUUCUCAUUGAAACAUACAUGCAAGUCAGCAGACAGCACCAGUGCUGUGUCUGAGAAGCAUUGCAUUCUAGUGGCAUGUAGGGUUUGCAGGUGGCUAUGCAUUUCCACGGGGUGGCACACAGGACAAGAUGCACCCCUACCAAUAUGACCAUUAGAAAGGAUUACUGGUCACAUUGGCUUUCCCAGAUUCCUCUGCCCCUCAAGAAGUGAGGGUUCCUGCUGUCUGGUUGUCAGGAUGUAGACGUAACCUUUUCUCAGAAUCUGGGUAAUGGACAGAUUUUCUCAAGAAAAACAAUUGGUGGAAGAGAUCAGAUGAUACUCUGAGGAUCGUAAAUGGGGCUUCUGGGGUCCAGGUAGAGGCUGGAGAGGAAAGAUGAGCUUUGCAGGUAUGAAAGGAAGGCAGAGAUGAAAGAGAAAACAGAUAGUCAUCCACCAACAUGUGAGGCACACUGAGCCAGUGUGUACUAGGGAAGGGUUCUGUAGUGAGGAGCAGAGACUGGGGGAUAGACUAGAGUCACAGCUACUGCCUGUGGACAAGACAGAGGCAGAGGCAGAGACCAGACAAGGAGGUUUUGCUACACAUUACAAUGUCCCACCUCCAUCCCUUUGAUCUUUUCUGAAAGACUAAAUAGCAAGGUAAUUGUUUGACUGCUGUGUGUGUGUAUGUGUGUUUGUGCAAGUGCAUGCCUGUGUGAGUGCAAGUGUGUGCAUGAACAUUGGAAAUGGAAGUGUUCUUUUUCAGGAAUAUCCCCCAAAGAAGCCAGAAACAACUCACCCAAGGUUCCUCAUAUACCAGCCCUUUAUUAUUUACUUUAUGUUCCUGGAUGCAGUCUGGGGAAGCCACACUGACCUAAAGUGAUCUGAGUCAACAUGAGUCAGCAGUCAGUUGAUGGCAUCUGUAAGGGAAGAGCAGAGAUUUGGACCACACGACCUGUGUGGCUCAAAGAAGUAGUCCAGCAGCACUCCAGUUCCUACAGUGGCCUUGUGCUUCUCCCUCGGAACAGUCUUCAGUGUGAGCAGGUGCCGGAGAUGGAGGCUCACACAAGCAUCCCAUGGAGGAUCUAGUAGAGACUGAUGAAAUGUGUCCACGGUGAAUAAAGUCCAACUCAGGUUGCAAGUAGUCCCUGACCACCUAGAAGACUUAGUAGCACUUGGGCUUCUCAGCAUUUCUUGUGUUUCUUUUCUCAGUUUUAUAUACUGAAGGAAAAAAAAAAAAAAGGUUACAAAGCAAAGCCUUACUUUAUUCUGAAAAUAUAGUCAGUCUCGUUAGCACUCACUUGAAAUGAUAUUCCUGCUUGUUAGAAGGCCUUAGUAAGGCCCCCUCUACCAAAAAAAAAAAAAUCUGUAUAGCAAUAAUAUGUGUUUAAAAAUAAAAGCCAGCUGCUCAUCACGCAUUCACAGCUUCUUCCUUCACCCUACCCCCUCUUUUCUCUGCA